CUGAGAUGGAGUCUUGCUCUGUUGCCCAGGCUGGAGUGCAAUGGCAUGAUCUUGGCUCACUGCAACCUCCGCCUCCUGGGUUCAAGCGAUUCUCCUGCCUCAGCCUCCUGAGUAGCUGGGAUUACGGGAGCCCACCAUCACACCCAGCUAAUUUUUGUAUUUUUUUUUUUUUUUGAGACGGAGUUUCGGCGCGAUCUUGGCUCACAGCAACCUCCGCCUCCCAGGUUCAAGCCAUUCUCCUGCCUCAGCCUCCGGAGUAGCUGGGAUUACAGGCAUGCGCCACC
This 284-nucleotide long non-coding RNA is filed under the name Pan troglodytes (chimpanzee). RNAcentral describes it as "long non-coding RNA NONPTRT015072". Lineage: Eukaryota; Metazoa; Chordata; Mammalia; Primates; Hominidae. The record is from RNAcentral.